RNAcentral lists this ribosomal RNA (253 nucleotides) under uncultured bacterium. RNAcentral's name for it is "partial 16S ribosomal RNA". It matches the Rfam family "Bacterial small subunit ribosomal RNA", at positions 524 to 776 of the family's 1533-position model. The record is from RNAcentral.
UACAGAGGUGGCAAGCGUUGUUCGGAAUUACUGGGCGUAAAGGGCGAGUAGGCGGCUUUUUAAGUCAGACGUGAAAUCCCCCGGCUUAACCUGGGAACUGCGUCUGAUACUGGAAGGCUUGAGUAUGGGAGAGGAAUGUGGAAUUCCAGGUGUAGCGGUGAAAUGCGUAGAUAUCGGGAGGAACACCAGUGGCGAAGGCGACUACCUGGCCUGUUCUUGACGCUGAGGCGCGAAAGCUAGGGGAGCAAACGGG